GACGAACGCUGGCGGCGUGCUUAACACAUGCAAGUCGAACGGAAAGGCCCUGCUUUUGUGGGGUGCUCGAGUGGCGAACGGGUGAGUAACACGUGAGUAACCUGCCCUUGACUUUGGGAUAACUUCAGGAAACUGGGGCUAAUACCGGAUAGGAGCUCCUGCUGCAUGGUGGGGGUUGGAAAGUUUCGGCGGUUGGGGAUGGACUCGCGGCUUAUCAGCUUGUUGGUGAGGUAGUGGCUUACCAAGGCUUUGACGGGUAGCCGGCCUGAGAGGGUGACCGGCCACAUUGGGACUGAGAUACGGACCAGACUCCUACGGGCGGCAGCAGUGGGGAAUAUUGCACAAUGGGCGGAAGCCUGAUGCAGCAACGCCGCGUGCGGGAUGACGGCCUUCGGGUUGUAAACCGCUUUCGCCUGUGACGAAGCGUGAGUGACGGUAAUGGGUAAAGAAGCACCGGCUAACUACGUG
RNAcentral lists this ribosomal RNA (468 nucleotides) under uncultured bacterium. RNAcentral describes it as "partial 16S ribosomal RNA". It matches the Rfam family "Bacterial small subunit ribosomal RNA", at positions 28 to 507 of the family's 1533-position model. The record is from RNAcentral.